AAGGAAAUUAUUUUCAAACAAACUUUUCUCAUGUAACACUCUUUAUCUUGAAAGAUACAUAAAAUAAUCUUUCACAUAAAAUAAAUAAAUGUAACACACAUGAAAAGACUAGAUUUUGGUUUUAUUUAGUUUGGAAGUAUAUGCAUAUUUAAGUAGAUGGAGCCUCAUUUACAUCAAUGUACAUUUAUGAAAAGUUCAUUCAUUCAUGUUUAUUAUCCUACACAGGGUUGGUGGACACUGGAGCCUAUCCCAGGGGACUUGGGCACAGGUGGGGGACACCCUGGCUGCCAACCCAUUGCAGGGCACAAUCGCACACACACUCAUACACCCUAGCACACACUAUGGACAAUUUAGAAAUGCCAAUCAGUGUACAACACAUGUCUUUGGACUGGGGAGGAAACCAGAGUACCCAGAAGAAACCCCUGAACCACAGGGAGAACAUGCAAACUCCAUGCAUACAGGGUGCAGGUGUUUUCAACAGGCAUGUGUUGAAUUGAGUGCUAGGUGGAACAAGAAUGCAACACAAA
This is a long non-coding RNA of Ictalurus punctatus (channel catfish), 527 nucleotides long. The record is from Ensembl. Lineage: Eukaryota; Metazoa; Chordata; Actinopteri; Siluriformes; Ictaluridae.